Molecule: long non-coding RNA, 319 nt
Organism: Erinaceus europaeus (western European hedgehog)
Lineage: Eukaryota; Metazoa; Chordata; Mammalia; Eulipotyphla; Erinaceidae
Exons: 2
Source: RefSeq, a predicted model, not a curated record
UGUUCUACAAACGUGUUUGUUUUUUGUUGUUGUUGUUUUGCCAGACACUGCUCAGCUCUGGUUUAUGGUGACUGGGGGACUGAACCUGGGUCUUUGAAGCCUCAUGCACAAAACUCUUUCUGUACAACUAUUAUGCUGUCUCUCCACCACACUUCAGAUUUAAAAAUAUAGUGGUCCGGGAGGUGGCACAGUGAUAAAGCUUUGGACUCUCAAGCAUGAGGUCCCAAGUUCGAUCCCCGGCAGCACAUGUACCAGAGUGAUGAUGUCUGGUUCUUUCUCUUUUUUCUGUCUUUCUCAUUAAUAAACAAAUGAAAUAUUU